GAAGGAGCUGGACAGUGCUUUUUUUUCAUCAUCAUCAGAGCUCAGAGGUAUCCAACGUGUGCAGUCACGGGCCUUGUUCACAUAACAUGUCUAGCACAACGGUGUAAACUCGUGUUCUUGCAAUGGUCGAUGCAAUAUUCAAUGCAAUGAGAAUUUCUCAUUGAUUGAGAAUCUAUCUGUAUUGAAGCUUGUCAAAACUGCUAUAACUGUGAAACUAUUGAAAUCUAAAGUGACAUUGAAUACAUGCGAAAAGCUGAAAAUGACUCGUGAAACACAACUUGAUCUUUGGGAAUAUAAAGUCAAAGGUGAAUGUUCUUGUUAUUGUGUGAACAUGUCACAAUUAGGUUAAAAUGCGGAUGCGGAACGGAUCGAAUCCACCGAGCAGAUGCGGAACGGAUACCGUAAACCUCCGAUUAAGCAGCGAUUACUGGGCU
Non-coding RNA from Paramuricea clavata, 434 nucleotides. The record is from the annotation of a GenBank genome assembly. Lineage: Eukaryota; Metazoa; Cnidaria; Anthozoa; Malacalcyonacea; Plexauridae.